GCCGAUAAAGGCUAACCUCUCGAAAGAGAGGAGAGCGCAAAGCCACGGGUCUAAGGCUCCGAUUUGAGCUAUGGCUACCGGGUUGCCGAAG
Molecule: non-coding RNA, 91 nt
Submitted as: unclassified sequences
Source: Rfam